UUGAGGUAAACAAUAUACUCUUUUUGGAGCUUCCCAUCCUCACAGUUAUCCUACAUGACCGCCAGAUCAGUACUCAGGUGGGUGACCACUGGGGAAUCCCUGGUGUUGUAUGUUUUUG
This 118-nucleotide ribosomal RNA is filed under the name Podospora anserina S mat+. Lineage: Eukaryota; Fungi; Ascomycota; Sordariomycetes; Sordariales; Podosporaceae. The record is from RNAcentral.